RNAcentral lists this ribosomal RNA (335 nucleotides) under Herbaspirillum sp. FES17. Its description in RNAcentral is "bacterial SSU rRNA". It matches the Rfam family "Bacterial small subunit ribosomal RNA", at positions 983 to 1322 of the family's 1533-position model. The record is from RNAcentral. Lineage: Bacteria; Pseudomonadati; Pseudomonadota; Betaproteobacteria; Burkholderiales; Oxalobacteraceae.
GACAUGGUCGGAAUCCUGAAGAGAUUUGGGAGUGCUCGAAAGAGAACCGGCGCACAGGUGCUGCAUGGCUGUCGUCAGCUCGUGUCGUGAGAUGUUGGGUUAAGUCCCGCAACGAGCGCAACCCUUGUCAUUAGUUGCUACGAAAGGGCACUCUAAUGAGACUGCCGGUGACAAACCGGAGGAAGGUGGGGAUGACGUCAAGUCCUCAUGGCCCUUAUGGGUAGGGCUUCACACGUCAUACAAUGGUACAUACAGAGGGCCGCCAACCCGCGAGGGGGAGCUAAUCCCAGAAAGUGUAUCGUAGUCCGGAUUGGAGUCUGCAACUCGACUCCAUG